GACUAAAGAAGAAGCUAUUGGCAACACUAAUUUUACGGAAGUCAAUAUUGCGGUUUAAUUGCUGAGCAAUGUUUGUGUUGUUAGGGUGAACUUGUGUUAGCUCUUCGGUUUCUCGUUGAAAUACUCAAAGCGCUGCCUCAAAUAUGGGUUGUGGAUUAGUUCCAUGGGCAUCAGUCCUGUGUGAACUAAUGACACCAGAUCCAUGUUAUUCUAAAGCUGUGGAAAUGCAGCGCUGUCUAAAAGCCAAUCGAUAUCAGGAAGGAGUAUGCUUUGGAGCAAUGGUCCUGAUGGAUAAAUGUUGCUCUAGAUGGAAGGAAAGGUCUCCUUGUUGCUCAACAUAUGAACGAUCCAGACCAAAACAUAAGACUCAUUAUGCUGAUAAUGAAAAGAUUAAUAAAGAUCAUUUUAUGCUCACUGAAUUAUUUCUUUGCCACUGAGUACAUUUUUGGCCAUAAACUGUAUAAAACUGUAUAGUUUAGGAACUGUUUUCUUGCAGUUAUUGGAAAUAGUUUAGUUUUUAAAAUGUCUUUGGUAUGUUUAUUACAUGAAGCAGAGAGAUAAAAUUAAGUGAAUUUAAAAAUUUCUGUUGGUGACAAUUUAUUUAUCUGAACACCUUGUCUUUCAGCUAUUUAUCUUUUCUAGUCUUAUCUUUGAUAUAAUUUAAGUAGCCUAAAAAUGAGAUUAGGAGUGAAAUUAAAGUAAUGUAUAGUUAGUUAAUGAGUAUUAUUAUGUUUGUGUAUAUAGUGUUUUUGCGUAAAAGCAAAAGUCCUUUUUAUUUUCCUGUUGUAUUCUCAGUUCCAAAAUUGGAAGGAAUGUUAAUGUUGUUUGUCUGCACAUUUUUUUCCUUAUUACUAAAUCUUUGUUUCUUGAUAUAAAUUACUCUGCAUUUUAAAUACUCAGCAAAAUUACCUGAAUAAUUUAAGUUAUUGUAUAUAUUUUUUUUAAUUUUAAUUAUUAAGGUAUCUUUUAAACAUUAUAUAAAAAGUAAAUUUCAAGAUGUAAGAAAAGAUCUUUCAUGUUCACUUUAAAAUUACUCAAAUUGUGUAAUAUAUUUUUUGCACUGUAGUUUGAGACUUAAAGUUGUGCUAUUAAACUAUCUUGAAUUCGA
This is a long non-coding RNA of Stegodyphus dumicola, 1108 nucleotides long. Lineage: Eukaryota; Metazoa; Arthropoda; Arachnida; Araneae; Eresidae. The record is from RefSeq and is a predicted model, not a curated record.